RNAcentral lists this ribosomal RNA (534 nucleotides) under uncultured bacterium. RNAcentral describes it as "bacterial SSU rRNA". It matches the Rfam family "Bacterial small subunit ribosomal RNA", at positions 777 to 1304 of the family's 1533-position model. The record is from RNAcentral.
AAUAGAUACCCUGGUAGUCCUAGCUGUAAACGAUGAGCACUGGGUUGAGGGGACUUCCGACAUCCUCUCGGCCGUAGCGAAAGCGUUAAGUGCUCCGCCUGGGGAGUAUGGCCGCAAGGCUGAAACUCAAAGGAAUUGACGGGGGCUCACACAAGCGGUGGAGGAUGUGGCUUAAUUCGAGGCUACGCGAAGAACCUUAUCCUAGAUUUGACAUGGUUGAGAAUCUCCUUGAAAGAGGAGAGUGCCCUUCGGGGAGCUCUUUCACAGGUGCUGCAUGGCUGUCGUCAGCUCGUGUCGUGAGAUGUUGGGUUAAGUCCCUUAACGAGCGAAACCCUUAUCUUUAGUUGCCAGCGGGUCAAGCCGGGGACUCUAAAGAGACUGCCGGUGUCAAACCGGAGGAAGGUGGGGAUGACGUCAAGUCCUCAUGGCCUUUAUGUCUAGGGCUGCACACGUCCUACAAUGGCACGUACAAAGGGAAGCCAAGCCGCGAGGCCGCGCUAAUCCCAAAAAGCGUGCCCCAGUUCGGAUUGCAGG